RNAcentral lists this ribosomal RNA (439 nucleotides) under uncultured bacterium. Its description in RNAcentral is "partial 16S ribosomal RNA". It matches the Rfam family "Bacterial small subunit ribosomal RNA", at positions 339 to 795 of the family's 1533-position model. The record is from RNAcentral.
CUACGGGUCGCAGCAGUGAGGAAUAUUGCACAAUGGAGGAAACUCUGAUGCAGCAACGCCGCGUGGAGGAUGACGCAUUUCGGUGUGUAAACUCCUUUUAUAUGUCAAGAAAAUGACGGUAGCAUAUGAAUAAGCACCGGCUAACUCCGUGCCAGCAGCCGCGGUAAUACGGAGGGUGCAAGCGUUACUCGGAAUCACUGGGCGUAAAGGACGCGUAGGCGGGAUAUCAAGUCAGGUGUGAAAUCCUACAGCUUAACUGUAGAACUGCACUUGAAACUGGUAACCUAGAGUAUGGGAGGGGGAGAUGGAAUUAGUGGUGUAGGGGUAAAAUCCGUAGAUAUCACCAGGAAUACCUAAAGCGAAGGCGAUCUCCUGGAACAUAACUGACGCUAAGGCGUGAAAGCGUGGGGAGCAAACAGGAUUAGAUACCCCGGUAGUC